This 1426-nucleotide ribosomal RNA is filed under the name Streptococcus thermophilus. RNAcentral describes it as "bacterial SSU rRNA". It matches the Rfam family "Bacterial small subunit ribosomal RNA". Lineage: Bacteria; Bacillati; Bacillota; Bacilli; Lactobacillales; Streptococcaceae. The record is from RNAcentral.
UGCAAUAGAACGCUGAAGAGAGGAGCUUGCUCUUCUUGGAUGAGUUGCGAACGGGUGAGUAACGCGUAGGUAACCUGCCUUGUAGCGGGGGAUAACUAUUGGAAACGAUAGCUAAUACCGCAUAACAAUGGAUGACACAUGUCAUUUAUUUGAAAGGGGCAAUUGCUCCACUACAAGAUGGACCUGCGUUGUAUUAGCUAGUAGGUGAGGUAAUGGCUCACCUAGGCGACGAUACAUAGCCGACCUGAGAGGGUGAUCGGCCACACUGGGACUGAGACACGGCCCAGACUCCUACGGGAGGCAGCAGUAGGGAAUCUUCGGCAAUGGGGGCAACCCUGACCGAGCAACGCCGCGUGAGUGAAGAAGGUUUUCGGAUCGUAAAGCUCUGUUGUAAGUCAAGAACGGGUGUGAGAGUGGAAAGUUCACACUGUGACGGUAGCUUACCAGAAAGGGACGGCUAACUACGUGCCAGCAGCCGCGGUAAUACGUAGGUCCCGAGCGUUGUCCGGAUUUAUUGGGCGUAAAGCGAGCGCAGGCGGUUUGAUAAGUCUGAAGUUAAAGGCUGUGGCUCAACCAUAGUUCGCUUUGGAAACUGUCAAACUUGAGUGCAGAAGGGGAGAGUGGAAUUCCAUGUGUAGCGGUGAAAUGCGUAGAUAUAUGGAGGAACACCGGUGGCGAAAGCGGCUCUCUGGUCUGUAACUGACGCUGAGGCUCGAAAGCGUGGGGAGCGAACAGGAUUAGAUACCCUGGUAGUCCACGCCGUAAACGAUGAGUGCUAGGUGUUGGAUCCUUUCCGGGAUUCAGUGCCGCAGCUAACGCAUUAAGCACUCCGCCUGGGGAGUACGACCGCAAGGUUGAAACUCAAAGGAAUUGACGGGGGCCCGCACAAGCGGUGGAGCAUGUGGUUUAAUUCGAAGCAACGCGAAGAACCUUACCAGGUCUUGACAUCCCGAUGCUAUUUCUAGAGAUAGAAAGUUACUUCGGUACAUCGGUGACAGGUGGUGCAUGGUUGUCGUCAGCUCGUGUCGUGAGAUGUUGGGUUAAGUCCCGCAACGAGCGCAACCCCUAUUGUUAGUUGCCAUCAUUCAGUUGGGCACUCUAGCGAGACUGCCGGUAAUAAACCGGAGGAAGGUGGGGAUGACGUCAAAUCAUCAUGCCCCUUAUGACCUGGGCUACACACGUGCUACAAUGGUUGGUACAACGAGUUGCGAGUCGGUGACGGCGAGCUAAUCUCUUAAAGCCAAUCUCAGUUCGGAUUGUAGGCUGCAACUCGCCUACAUGAAGUCGGAAUCGCUAGUAAUCGCGGAUCAGCACGCCGCGGUGAAUACGUUCCCGGGCCUUGUACACACCGCCCGUCACACCACGAGAGUUUGUAACACCCGAAGUCGGUGAGGUAACCUUUUGGAGCCAGCCGCCUAAGGUGGAC